This 501-nucleotide long non-coding RNA is filed under the name Pan troglodytes (chimpanzee). Its description in RNAcentral is "lincRNA". Lineage: Eukaryota; Metazoa; Chordata; Mammalia; Primates; Hominidae. The record is from RNAcentral.
GAAUUAAUGGAAACUGUCAACAGCCCGCCCCUGACCUCACUGGAUAUAACUGUGUCCUCGGCAGACCUUCAGUUUGUCAGAACCAGUUGGGAUGCAACAGGAUUUUCAGUUUUGCUGUCUUCCAUGCAUGAAUGGCUGUUGGAAUGACCAAGAUGAUUUUUCCACCCAUUCUUGGGACCUGGACUAUGAUGGCCACAGCAGCUAAAGAUGCCAGGUUCUGCAUACUAUGAAACUACUACAUCAGCAGGUCCCAAGGACUCCACUAACUCAACUGAUCUGAGGGACCCCAUGAGAAGCCUACUCAUCAAAGAAUGCAGUUUCUAAAUCCUGAUGAGUUCACCCCCCUUCCCCUGACCAAUCAACAACCCUAAUUCUCCAGUCCCUUGCCCUCCAUGAUCCUCUUAAAAACCCUAGCCCAGAAUUCCUCAGGAAGAUGGAUUUGAGGGUCUCCUUCCAACUCCUCACUCAGUGCCCUGUGGUCAUUAAACUUUCUCUGCUGCA